GCGCCAGUGAGGCGCAACGUAGCAUCGUUGAUCUCUCUCCACGAGGCGCAACUGCAGGUCAAUCGUACUUCCUCCUCGGUGAAGGUUUCUCUUUCCACCCAUCCUUUUGUAUCCUCCACCUGACCACCUCCCAACACUAAAUCACCAUGAAUCGAGGGGGUGAUUCAGCUCGAGGAUUCACAAGAAGACAGGUCUAACAAAUUCUUGAGAUCCAUCGGGAAUUGGGUUUAGGGUUUUGUCCUCGCAACAAUGUUGGUUUUUUCUUCUUGGAUCCACCGAUCGUGUUGGGCAUUAUGAGAUAUCAAUGAACUGAUUCAUCAUAAAGUCACCGUCAUUUAUUCUUGAUGUCUUGCUCGAUCUGGGAGUGCUGAAACCGUGCUCUUUGGGACCCGUGUCAGAGAGGAAGAUGCAACCCUCGAUCUCGGUGACGAGAAGGUUCCUCUUCUAUGUUCUGUUUGCGUCGUUGUUCUUGUUGUUGUUUACGUGUUCCGAUCUUUUGAGGCCCCGCAGUAGGCCCCUUGUACCUCAAACAGUGCUCAUGUUCGUUCUUCCUAAUAAGACUUCAGAUGACAGCUUUGGAGCUAGAGAUAGGACCAAGUUUCCCCAUUCCGAUCCAUUUCCCUUUUCUUCCUCAAUCGUCGUCAAUGAUAGACGAGGAAGAUCCGAGAAAGACAUUAGAGAAGCAAGCAGCAAAGGAUGCGACUUGGAUCGGUCUUUACUCAAGGUAUACAUGUAUGAUUUGCCUCCUGAGUUUCAUUUUGGAUCGUUGGGUUGGAAGGGAAAAACCGAUCAGACAUGGCCGGAUAUCGCCGAAAUGGAUCGAAUUCCGACCUACCCUGGUGGAUUAAAUUUGCAGCAUAGUGUAGAAUACUGGCUCACCUUGGAUCUUCUUGCUUCAAAUGUUCCCAUUGUGGCGAGGCCUUGCACAGUGGUCCGUGUGACAAAUUCAAGCUCGGCGGAUGUGUUCUUCGUGCCCUUCUUCUCAUCUUUGAGUUACAACCGGCAUUCGAAGCCACAAGGGAAAGGUAAAGCUAGCAAAAACAGGAUUUUGCAGGAUGAGUUGGUGAGGUACUUAAUGGGCAGAGAGGAGUGGAAUAGAGGUGGUGGGAAGGAUCAUGUUAUUGUAGCUCACCAUCCCAACAGCAUGUUGCAGGCUCGAAGGAAGCUUGGUUCUGCUAUGUUUCUGCUUGCAGAUUUUGGGAGGUACCCAUCGAAGAUAGCCAAUCUCAAGAAGGAUAUCAUUGCUCCUUACAGGCAUGUAGUUCGUUCGGUCGGCAAUGACUCUGCCACCUUCGAUGAGCGUCCGAUAUUAGCAUAUUUCCAGGGAGCCAUCAAUAGGAAGGAUGGCGGUAAAAUUCGUCGAAAGCUCUAUUACCUUCUCAAAGAUGAGAAAGAUGUGCACUUUUCGUAUGGUAGCGUAAGGGAGAAUGGAAUAAGAAGUUCUGGUCAGGGAAUGGCUUCAUCGAAAUUCUGCCUGAAUAUCGCUGGAGACACCCCCUCCUCAAAUCGUCUCUUCGAUGCCAUUGUCAGCCAUUGUGUUCCCAUUGUGAUCAGUGAUGACAUUGAACUCCCGUUCGAAGAUAUCCUAGACUAUUCAGAUUUUUGCAUCUUUGUACGCACCUCGGAUGCUGUUAAGAAGGGUUUUCUUCUGGACCUUCUCAGGGGAAUCAAAAGAACAGAAUGGACUAAGAUGUGGGAAAGGUUGAAGCAAAUAGCUCAUCACUUUGAGUAUCAGUACCCAUCAAAGCAGGGGGAUUCUGUUCAGAUGAUCUGGGAAGAAGUUGCUCGCAAAAUCCCAUAUGUUCGUCUGAGCCUUAACAAGGAGAAGAGAUUACACAGAUCACAGUUUGUGAAGCAAAGCAAAUAGGAUAAUACUUUUGAGGACUCUUGUACAUCAGGUUGAAACCUUAGAAAGCUAUUUUCUGGGCACAGGGGAAAUCAAUAUCAUAGAAUUGUGCUUCACUUGUUCAAUAAAGAAUGUGCAAGCUUGUUAAUAGUGCAUAUAAUUUUCUGAUGCCUCCUCUCUAGCAAAACCAUUGGAUGAUUGAACUGUCAAAUGAGGAAAGAAACAAAGCAUUACAAGCAGCAACGAAACCUCAUGAUCUCCUUGCAGUUCUUCGCGUGAUGGAUUUCUUUUCCCGGCUUUAGUUGCUUCAUGGAUGCAACAUCCUCCCAGCUAGUUUUGGACGACGAUAAGGAAGAGCGCUCACGAAGCUUCAGCACCGGUUGUGGAUGGGAUCUGAUCCCCUUCGAACUCUUCGUUUGCUCAUCUUGUUAGGAUCCACAGGCGAUGGCUCUGCUGCAGAUUUCUUGCUCGCAUCAAGGCUGACGACACCAGUAUGGGAAAACAACCAAACGCACACGAGAAGUACAAGGAGGAGGAGCCUACGAGUGCAGAUUCCCAUCGGUCCUCCAGUUAGCCACAGAGAUGUGAGAGGCCCUUCUGGUUCGGCCUUAAAAGGCCCCAUCCCUGUAGAUAUAGUCCUCUCAUUCAUCGGCAUAUGGGUUUUGGUCCAAAAGCACAAAGCUCAGUAACGCAAAAAACACCUAGAGCAUUCGGAUUCACUCCAAUCAUAUGGCUGCAACCCAAGCAAAUCCAAGGCUGUUUUAGAAGGUUCUGUCAUGUAUGAAUAAAGAGAUUGGCACGCCAUCCUUGGGAAGCGAAGUAUCUUUCCGGUGGUUCCCUUCCCUCCCCUCCAAAUCCCCCCUCACUAAGCAAGCACUAAAGGAGAUGUUCAGGGAGUACGGCAGCAGCGAAAGAAACACCUGCUUUAUCUCUCUUCUGUGAUCAUCAUCCUGUGCUUUAGGAUUUCCUCUUACAACAAGGAAGCACUCUUAUCCAUGCACCAAAUGAAAGAAAACAAGUACUUGGUUUCUCGUGCUGAAUGCGCUUCUUUUUGCUUUUCUGCGUUAUUCCUGCUGCUAUAUACCCUACUUUUCCUAUAUCUCAUCCAUUACUUCUCCCAUGACUCUUUAAUUUUCCUCUUUUUCCUUUUUCCAUGGAGAACACAUUCCUCUUUCACUGUUCUUUUCAUAUUUAUAUUGCUUCUCAGUAUCACAUGCAGCUCGUAGGAUUCCUAAAGCACAGGUUCCCUCACUUCAACAAAAACUACGAGCAACUCAAGUAUCGCACAUCAGGUGUUUGUUGCUUUUUCUCUUUGAAAUAAAGCAAAAGAGCAACAGUGGAUGCUGCUGCUUUCCAAGGGCACAAGACUAGAACUCACAUGGAGGACUAUGCUCCCAUUGCAUGAAGAAAAACUCAAACAAUAUUGUUUCAUGCAACAUAAAAAAUUUAUCUCCAUAUUCAAGUGCCUUUCAUACAUACAUCAUGCACAAUGUCAAUUUUAUUUUUGAUUCUAGAAGCAUGCUUGGUCACUUUGAAAUAAACUCUCUGAUGUUCUUUUUAUUUAUUUAUUUUUCUUGCUAAAAAGUGUUCAUCUAUUAUUACUUAAUAUAUGGUACUUCGGAAACCUCACAAGUUUGUGAUCAUUGAACAGGGAGAAGAAGGAAAGAACACAGGAAAUAGAGCUGCAGGGAAAUCCAGGGAAUUAUCAUGAUUUGGUCUUCUCUCUGGAGACUAGUUUUCUAAAGUGGGCAAUUUCUUAAUGUCACCCAAGUGCUUUUAUAUACUUUUGAAGCAGGCUAUCAGAUAUUUGGGACCCAACUGAGUAAUUCUAUAUUAGAACUGGCAGAAAAUUUUUAGGUGCAAAGUUAUGAUCAUCUCAGCUUCAUGGGGUUUCCACAUUGUCAAAGAAGUCGAAUAAUUGCCAUGCCAAGAAGAUUGGAAGGAAUGCGAUGCCUAAGCAGUGACCCCCUCCAAAAGAUAUCUUUUGGCGUAUAUCACAUAGCAAAUAAUUUCUCACAGUUCAGAGAGUUUAUACUAGUAAACAUUUUUUAUGAAUCUUGUCACAAAGUAUCAUUGCAAAUGUAAGAGGGUGAGAUGUUCAAUGGAGUUUGAGGUGUAGAUUGAAUUGUGUAUGUAUCAAGUCGAUCGUAUGAAUAUGUUAUUGACGCAAGGAAAUUCGUGUUUUUUCUUUUAA
Musa acuminata AAA Group (dessert banana) is the source of this 4040-nucleotide RNA transcript. It is a transcript of the gene named probable arabinosyltransferase ARAD1, with no coding region annotated. The record is from RefSeq and is a predicted model, not a curated record. NCBI's taxonomy places the organism in Eukaryota, Viridiplantae, Streptophyta, Magnoliopsida, Zingiberales, Musaceae. The transcript has 6 exons.